RNAcentral lists this ribosomal RNA (2817 nucleotides) under Escherichia coli. Its description in RNAcentral is "partial 23S ribosomal RNA". It matches the Rfam family "Bacterial large subunit ribosomal RNA". The record is from RNAcentral. Lineage: Bacteria; Pseudomonadati; Pseudomonadota; Gammaproteobacteria; Enterobacterales; Enterobacteriaceae.
GGUUAAGCGACUAAGCGUACACGGUGGAUGCCCUGGCAGUCAGAGGCGAUGAAGGACGUGCUAAUCUGCGAUAAGCGUCGGUAAGGUGAUAUGAACCGUUAUAACCGGCGAUUUCCGAAUGGGGAAACCCAGUGUGUUUCGACACACUAUCAUUAACUGAAUCCAUAGGUUAAUGAGGCGAACCGGGGGAACUGAAACAUCUAAGUACCCCGAGGAAAAGAAAUCAACCGAGAUUCCCCCAGUAGCGGCGAGCGAACGGGGAGCAGCCCAGAGCCUGAAUCAGUGUGUGUGUUAGUGGAAGCGUCUGGAAAGGCGCGCGAUACAGGGUGACAGCCCCGUACACAAAAAUGCACAUGCUGUGAGCUCGAUGAGUAGGGCGGGACACGUGGUAUCCUGUCUGAAUAUGGGGGGACCAUCCUCCAAGGCUAAAUACUCCUGACUGACCGAUAGUGAACCAGUACCGUGAGGGAAAGGCGAAAAGAACCCCGGCGAGGGGAGUGAAAAAGAACCUGAAACCGUGUACGUACAAGCAGUGGGAGCACGCUUAGGCGUGUGACUGCGUACCUUUUGUAUAAUGGGUCAGCGACUUAUAUUCUGUAGCAAGGUUAACCGAAUAGGGGAGCCGAAGGGAAACCGAGUCUUAACUGGGCGUUAAGUUGCAGGGUAUAGACCCGAAACCCGGUGAUCUAGCCAUGGGCAGGUUGAAGGUUGGGUAACACUAACUGGAGGACCGAACCGACUAAUGUUGAAAAAUUAGCGGAUGACUUGUGGCUGGGGGUGAAAGGCCAAUCAAACCGGGAGAUAGCUGGUUCUCCCCGAAAGCUAUUUAGGUAGCGCCUCGUGAAUUCAUCUCCGGGGGUAGAGCACUGUUUCGGCAAGGGGGUCAUCCCGACUUACCAACCCGAUGCAAACUGCGAAUACCGGAGAAUGUUAUCACGGGAGACACACGGCGGGUGCUAACGUCCGUCGUGAAGAGGGAAACAACCCAGACCGCCAGCUAAGGUCCCAAAGUCAUGGUUAAGUGGGAAACGAUGUGGGAAGGCCCAGACAGCCAGGAUGUUGGCUUAGAAGCAGCCAUCAUUUAAAGAAAGCGUAAUAGCUCACUGGUCGAGUCGGCCUGCGCGGAAGAUGUAACGGGGCUAAACCAUGCACCGAAGCUGCGGCAGCGACGCUUAUGCGUUGUUGGGUAGGGGAGCGUUCUGUAAGCCUGUGAAGGUGUGCUGUGAGGCAUGCUGGAGGUAUCAGAAGUGCGAAUGCUGACAUAAGUAACGAUAAAGCGGGUGAAAAGCCCGCUCGCCGGAAGACCAAGGGUUCCUGUCCAACGUUAAUCGGGGCAGGGUGAGUCGACCCCUAAGGCGAGGCCGAAAGGCGUAGUCGAUGGGAAACAGGUUAAUAUUCCUGUACUUGGUGUUACUGCGAAGGGGGGACGGAGAAGGCUAUGUUGGCCGGGCGACGGUUGUCCCGGUUUAAGCGUGUAGGCUGGUUUUCCAGGCAAAUCCGGAAAAUCAAGGCUGAGGCGUGAUGACGAGGCACUACGGUGCUGAAGCAACAAAUGCCCUGCUUCCAGGAAAAGCCUCUAAGCAUCAGGUAACAUCAAAUCGUACCCCAAACCGACACAGGUGGUCAGGUAGAGAAUACCAAGGCGCUUGAGAGAACUCGGGUGAAGGAACUAGGCAAAAUGGUGCCGUAACUUCGGGAGAAGGCACGCUGAUAUGUAGGUGAGGUCCCUCGCGGAUGGAGCUGAAAUCAGUCGAAGAUACCAGCUGGCUGCAACUGUUUAUUAAAAACACAGCACUGUGCAAACACGAAAGUGGACGUAUACGGUGUGACGCCUGCCCGGUGCCGGAAGGUUAAUUGAUGGGGUUAGCGCAAGCGAAGCUCUUGAUCGAAGCCCCGGUAAACGGCGGCCGUAACUAUAACGGUCCUAAGGUAGCGAAAUUCCUUGUCGGGUAAGUUCCGACCUGCACGAAUGGCGUAAUGAUGGCCAGGCUGUCUCCACCCGAGACUCAGUGAAAUUGAACUCGCUGUGAAGAUGCAGUGUACCCGCGGCAAGACGGAAAGACCCCGUGAACCUUUACUAUAGCUUGACACUGAACAUUGAGCCUUGAUGUGUAGGAUAGGUGGGAGGCUUUGAAGUGUGGACGCCAGUCUGCAUGGAGCCGACCUUGAAAUACCACCCUUUAAUGUUUGAUGUUCUAACGUUGACCCGUAAUCCGGGUUGCGGACAGUGUCUGGUGGGUAGUUUGACUGGGGCGGUCUCCUCCUAAAGAGUAACGGAGGAGCACGAAGGUUGGCUAAUCCUGGUCGGACAUCAGGAGGUUAGUGCAAUGGCAUAAGCCAGCUUGACUGCGAGCGUGACGGCGCGAGCAGGUGCGAAAGCAGGUCAUAGUGAUCCGGUGGUUCUGAAUGGAAGGGCCAUCGCUCAACGGAUAAAAGGUACUCCGGGGAUAACAGGCUGAUACCGCCCAAGAGUUCAUAUCGACGGCGGUGUUUGGCACCUCGAUGUCGGCUCAUCACAUCCUGGGGCUGAAGUAGGUCCCAAGGGUAUGGCUGUUCGCCAUUUAAAGUGGUACGCGAGCUGGGUUUAGAACGUCGUGAGACAGUUCGGUCCCUAUCUGCCGUGGGCGCUGGAGAACUGAGGGGGGCUGCUCCUAGUACGAGAGGACCGGAGUGGACGCAUCACUGGUGUUCGGGUUGUCAUGCCAAUGGCACUGCCCGGUAGCUAAAUGCGGAAGAGAUAAGUGCUGAAAGCAUCUAAGCACGAAACUUGCCCCGAGAUGAGUUCUCCCUGACCCUUUAAGGGUCCUGAAGGAACGU